UACAGAGGGUGCGAGCGUUGUCCGGAAUCACUGGGCGUAAAGCGCACGUAGGCGGUUCGUUAAGUCGGAUGUGAAAGCCCUCGGCUCAACUGAGGAAGUGCACCCGAAACUGGCGAGCUUGAGUACGAAAGAGGAUCGCGGAAUUCCCGGUGUAGAGGUGAAAUUCGUAGAUAUCGGGAGGAACACCGGUGGCGAAGGCGGCGAUCUGGGUCGAUACUGACGCUGAGGUGCGAAAGCGUGGGGAGCAAACAGG
RNAcentral lists this ribosomal RNA (253 nucleotides) under uncultured bacterium. RNAcentral's name for it is "partial 16S ribosomal RNA". It matches the Rfam family "Bacterial small subunit ribosomal RNA", at positions 524 to 776 of the family's 1533-position model. The record is from RNAcentral.